UACAUGGGGUGCAAACGUUGCUCGGAAUUAUUGGGCGUAAAGCGCACGUAGGCGGCCAACUAAGUCGGAUGUGAAAUCCCCAGGCUUAACCUGGGAACUGCAUCCGAUACUGGAUGGCUUGAAUCCGGGAGAGGGAUGCAGAAUUCCAGGUGUAGCGGUGAAAUGCGUAGAUAUCUGGAGGAAUACCGGUGGCGAAGGCGGCAUCCUGGACCGGCAUUGACGCUGAGGAGGCGAAAAGCUGAGGGGAGCAAACGGG
Molecule: ribosomal RNA, 256 nt
Filed under: uncultured bacterium
Lineage: Bacteria
Description: partial 16S ribosomal RNA
Rfam family: Bacterial small subunit ribosomal RNA
Source: RNAcentral